Non-coding RNA from Rattus norvegicus (Norway rat), 5592 nucleotides. The record is from RefSeq and is a predicted model, not a curated record. Lineage: Eukaryota; Metazoa; Chordata; Mammalia; Rodentia; Muridae.
GUUCUGAAACAGUGUCAGGGUGAGGAAUGAUGAGGGGUGAGGAAUGAUGAGGGGUGAGGAAGGAUGAGGUGUGGUUCGGGGAGAGCCACGCCCUUUAUCAGACGGCCAUCAGGAAUGUGUGUGUCAUAGGAAAAUCUGAACUGCCCUCAGUGAGGUGGCCCUAUCCUCCAGCGAGCCAUCUGCACACGCCCUGCCACAGCCACGGAACAGGAAGGCCAAGACCCAGACACGCUCCCUCCUCUCCACUGCUGCGGGCGAACAUCAGAGUCACACAGACGGCAGCCCUGGAGGGUGUGAAAGGCUGCUCAGGCGUACACUCUCACCUUGAUCAUCUGAGCCACGUAGCUCUCGGGGCCCGUGUAGUCUGUCUUGUUCUUGACACGGACCAGCACAAUGAAGUACAGGUAGUUCCACAUGUUGUGCUCCAGUUUGAUGUGCUCUUCAAAGGACACUGUCUUGUUGUCAAACUUGUCCCUCUCCAGACCUGGGGGCAGAAGGAGGGCCACCAUGGGGACUGCUUCUAAUAGCUCCCCUGGGCGAUUUGGGUCGAUAUUCAAGCUCCCACUGCUUAGUGGUACCUGGCUACAGCCCUCCUGCAGAGCACUAGGGACUCUGGGAACAUCAGGAUUGCCUGAGCCCAGUGGUGACAGGACUAGCUGGGUCAAUGGCAUGUCCUGAAGGCGGGCCACUGGUGAGGACAUGACUAGGUUCAGAAGGAGCAAAAUGGGCCAAAACCAGAAGUCUGAGGCCACAGUGGCCUCAGGUUCCUCUCCUGGAGGCCACAGUGGCACGAAGCAGUGACUGCCCAGGUCCUGCUGAUCCCAGCAUAGGUCAGGUCAGCAAGGGUAAGACUGGGUGCUACGGCUUAGAAGCCUCAGGCCGCGCAGUCGGAAACAGCCAAGUGAGGAAGUGGGCCUCACCACAGAUGAAGCACGUGGUCUUGAGGAUUUCCUCUUUCUUCUGCUUCUCGCUGCGCAGGUCGGCGAAGGUGUCGAUGAUCACCCCAAAGAUGAGGUUCAGGACAAUAAUGAUGACAAUGAAGAAGAACAGGAGGUCGUACACCACCCUGGCUGGGAAGAGCGACUCCUGCAGAGCAAGGGGACACACAAGGGCAGAGUCACCGCGAGCCCCAACCGAGAGCGAACAUGGGAACCCACAGACAACCGUGACCCCCGCUGUCAUUGCCAUGAGCUAACACUGGGAAACGGCUGACCAGGAGGAAGCCCUUACAAGUCCUACAAAACAGGGCAGCCUGCAGCCCUGUGUCCAAGUCCUGAGGCUCCACCCUGCCCUCCCCACUGGGCUGAGGAAGCCACUGACUGCUGAUGGCUCACACCUUCCCAAGCCUCAGAGCCAAGACUGGUUGCUGUGGUGACCCUUGUAGCAUCUACAGUGUGCUGGGGGGCAGGAAGCUGACAGCUCUGGACAGUGCCCCAGAAACCGGCUGGAUACGGGGGCAUCCAUCCAAUGGGUGGGAUGGUGCUUACGUCUUUGGAGGGCUUGCGGAGGAUGUCGCCCACGCCGCCACCGUUCCUCAGUCCGUGGUUCAUGACGGUGACAAUACACAUAAGCAGAGUAUCACAGGCCCGCUCUGUGCUGUCCAGCUCCUCGUCCUCUGUGGGCGGUCAGUACGUUGGGACCUGGCGCUGCCCAUCUUGCCCCGCCCACCCCACCCCACCCUGCAGAUGCUAGAGUCAUCUUACCUUCUAGGAUCUCAGGCACCGAGACCUCAGAGACACAGUCCAUCUUGUCCCCACUACAUGUGCCCAUAAAUGUGGCAGCUCCGUGUGGCAUCCCCAGGGUGCUGGCUGGAGAUGACAGCAACAAGGUCACAAGGAGGUCCAAAUGUCUGUCUGUCUGACCAUAGCGUCUCGCUAGUCUGUCCUGAGAGGCCUCUCCUGGCCCUGCUGUCUCACACAGAGACCACCACACAGUAGGAGGGUCUCUGAGACCCUGGGCCCGGCCCCCAGGCAGCCCCUGCAGACAGCCAGCUCUGUAUGAAUGACAGAUCUACAUGGGUUCCGCUCAAGCCAGAGGCUAUCAAGGCUCUGCCGACCUUUCUGACUGCAGUGAGCUAACAUUCAUGUGUGGAGAUGCAGGUUGGUAUAGGCUAGACCUCCCAAAAUCCAACAGGAGGAAGGCAGGGAGCCUGGAGGAACAAGCAUGCCCUGUCUGGUGCUGCCACCUGUGCAUGUGGAUUGUCACCCCACACGCCCACCCCAGACAGAAGUCCCCGAGACCUCUGGAGUGGUUCCCAGGCAGCCGGUCCACCUCCAGGAUGAAGUCAUCCUUGAGGAAGAGGAAGCCCACGAUGGAGAAGAGGUAGACAAGGAUGAGGGCCAGCAGGGCAGUUAGCAGGAUGGAGCGGCCAUUGCGGGUCACGCUCUUGAUGACAUUAAACAGCGUCUCCUCUCGGUAGAUGAGGUCAAAGAGCUGCAAGGACGGCACCUCCGUGAGCCAGGCCCCAAUGGCUACCACAGGCUCUGCCAACGGGGCCAGUGCUCAGGCUGCAAUGGGGCAAACGGGGAGGCUUCUAGGAGAAUCUGGUUCUGAGACUGGGGGUAGGGGGUGGGGGGCAUCCCAGGAGGGCGGACAUCAGCCACUCCCAGCAAAGUGUUUGUCAUACUAGCUCCUGUCAUCCUGUGCUUCAAGGACAUGGCAGUAACAAACCCGCUCGCAGUUACACACGAGUGUUCGGGUUGCCUGGUCUGGCUGAUCCCUCCUCUGUACCGGAGAGCUGGAGGCUCUCGGGAGACUAGGGCUGGAAGGCCCCGUCACAGCGCACCGUAGGCUCACCAGGAUACUGUAGAAGAGCUCAUGAGCAAAGAGGCCCAGGACACUCGUCAGGAUGUAGCCCACGUGAUACAGGAACUCCAUGUCCAUGACCAUUGCUUUAUAGCCACGGAUGAAGGUGCCGCGGUUGCCCACGAAGCUCACCACAAACACGAUCUUGUUGGUCAGCUAGGUAUAAAGGGCGGGUGUGGAGGUCAGCACUCCAACUUCCAUCCUGACCCUCCAGCCUGCCAGUCCACCCCAGGGACACGAGUGGUACUGCUGUCACUCAUCCUGAGAGGCAGAGCACCCGUGGAACUGCCUGGGCUCCUGGGACUCAGAGAAGCUCCAGGAGUCUCAGGUGAAGCAGGCUGGGGCAGAAAAGCCCCCCGCCUUACGGCCCCUGACUAGGGAAAAGACUUCUUCCCCAUCUCUCAGGGCAGCACCCUGCCCUUGAGGCAGCCCCUGUCUGAGUCCUGGCUGCCUCAGUUGUGGGAGGAGCACAGAACACCAGGCUCACCCUCUGACUACCAGGAGCUGGGACCAAGAGUGGGAGGGAUCAGGAGGUGAGCGCCAUGGCCACAGGGCCCCGCGGCACUCACAUUGAGAGCACCCAGGAUGUUGAGCGUGGGCCCAAUGCCCAGGUAGUAGAUGGAGCGAAGGACCAGUGCCACAAUGAGGGGACGGACGCUGUAGUGCUUGGUGAACAGCGCGGCAAUGGAGAAGCAGAUGAGGAUCCAGAAGAGGAGCGAGAUGAGUGGGGAGCCCAGCACGCCUGGGGGCAGUGGGGAGCCAUGAGUGAGGAGACCAGCACGCCUGGGGACAGGCGUGAACAGGAGACUCAAACCCGAAUGGGCCCAGUGUGAGUUCCAGAGCCUCCCCCACCCCAUCUCCCUUUCCCAGGGUCCUUAAGGACCUGAUCAUACCUGCUGUACCCUGUCAUGCCUACACCACACACACACACACACACACACACACACACACACACACACACACACACACACACACAGAGGCUAUCUCCCAUGAGGCCAGAAAGUGUGUCUGUCGCUUGACCCCCACAGGGCAGUGUAGGGGUGUGUCAGGGAGGGUGGACAGUCUCACCCGUGGACGCGCCUUCCACGUAGGGGUAGAAGAAGGCAAUGAUGAUGUUGAUGAACACUGCCAGGUUGAAGGAGAUGCUACCCCACAGCGUCAUGCGGCGGGAGAACCAGUAGAUGAGCGGCAUGCCUAAGGACACAGCGUGGCGUGUGGGUCCCCACAACCCCUCUGCCCGGGGGAGCCCCAGGAAGGGGAGGAGGCACCCGCUGGUCCUCACUGCGAAGCCGGCGCUGCCACUCCAUCUCGUUGUGCAGGAAGGAGGACUGGUCGAAGAAGUCGCUCACUUUGCUGCCCUGCUCGUCCUGCUCCGUGGUGGUGAAGAGCCGGUGCUUGGUCUCCUCUGUCAGGAACUGGCAGAUGGCAGGUACCGGGAACACGAUCUGCUCCAUGCUUCGGUCUUGCCGCACAAUCUGAUUGGCCCAGCAACACUUGGUCACAUCGGGGCAGAGGCCCUCACCACCUCCCAGGCACACCGAGUGCCUUCCACCUCACCUCAAUCUGCGAGGUGUGGUUCUCAUAGUAGGCCAGCGGGUCUUCCUCCUCCUCUUGGGCAGGGGCUGAGGACUUGAGCAUCUGAGAGAGCUGCUUGUUGUUGAGGCUGAGCUGGGGGUGGGGCCACAGGGGGUCAGUCCCACGGGGGGCGGGGCCACCUGGUCAGCCUUGCCCCCAGCCAGAGCCAGCCUAAGCCCACCCUUCCCAGUCCUGCCCAGGGGCCUGCUAGAAUAUUCCAGACCUGCCCCAGAACCAAGGAGGUCUUGCUUUCAUUUCUCUUGUCAGGGUUACACCACCGUACCCCCGUCCUGCUGCAAACCCACCCCAGACCCUAGCUUGUCUCUCAGGUCCCUGCUCACUGGGUUCCAGGCUGGCCUCACAGGAUAGCAGCUUUCUGUCACCAGUCUGCUCCUUGCUCAUUUGAUUCCCACAGAGCCCCAGGCCUGCCCUCGGGCCACAGUUCUUCUUCCCCCACUCCCCGCCCAACUCCACCCCCAAACUCUCACCAUGGAAGAGAUGCCCUCGGCCUCCUCCUCCUGGAUGCGCUUCACCGGCUUCAGCAGGUGCUGUAGCUGCUUGUUGUGCCUGGAAAGCUGCAGAAGACAGGACAGGAGAACGAUGGGCACUGCCUCGGGGGGCGUGGCCACAGAGGGGCAGGGCCUCGGGCAGAUUCGGUACCUGCAGUGCCAGGAUGUAGAUGUUGUGGCCCACUUCACGUGGGCUCACUUCGGAAUUUUCCCGCUCCUCCUCCUGCAGUCCGUCCAUCCUCCUCACCAGCUCCUGAGGCCGAAGGCUGAUGAGGAUGCGUUCUGCAUUCUCGCUGUCAUGUCGACUCUCCAUCAGAGCCAGGAGCAGCUUGGAGGCAUUGUCCUGGGUGGAGGGGGUGCCGGAAGCAAGCCAGGUCUGAGGGCUCCCACUGUGACCAGUGUGUUACGCCCCCUACAGGUCAGCCUCACCCAUCCUGAGUAAACACGCUCAAGCUCCAGCCCCCGCACCCCACUCGCCAACACACAGAGGAAGUGGGGGGGGGGGAGAGCAUGAUGUCUUCACGCCCCUACUCCUGUGUAGCCAGUGCAACCUGCGCACCUCACCAAAUGCACGCACAGAAGGAGCAUCAUCGCAUACAGCACAACAUGGCGCCCCACACGCCAAAUACCCUUGUCACUCACACGUGAGCACACACCUCACAGGCACAGCCCGCACGCCCACCGCCCGGGACCCCACCUUGAG